GGGCCGGUGGUCUAACGGAAGGACGCCGCGUUCGCAACGCGGAGGUUCCGGGUUCGAAUCCCGGCCGGUCCA
This is a transfer RNA of 72 nucleotides. It matches the Rfam family "tRNA". Rfam says of the family: Transfer RNA (tRNA) molecules are approximately 80 nucleotides in length. Their secondary structure includes four short double-helical elements and three loops (D, anti-codon, and T loops).